Molecule: long non-coding RNA, 1496 nt
Organism: Carassius auratus (goldfish)
Lineage: Eukaryota; Metazoa; Chordata; Actinopteri; Cypriniformes; Cyprinidae
Exons: 2
Source: RefSeq, a predicted model, not a curated record
UGAGGAGGUGUGACUAUAUCGAGUAUAAAUAACGAAUGAAGAUCCACCUCAAAUAAACUGCACUAAACUGCUCUGAACCUUAAACAAAUCAUCAGAAUGAUCUUAUCUGAGGGGAGUGAUGAGGAGGAUGACGACGAUGAUGAAGAAGAUGAUGGAGGUGCUGGAGUAAGUGUUUGCUGCCAAGGGUAAACUACUGCUCCAGACCUUGAUGCAGCUAGUGUUGAGAAAGACCCAAUAGCACGCUGGAUCAAACCAAACUGUGUGCAAUUGCUGAUACAAGCAGCAGCAGCCAAAGCAAUCACACAGGUUUAGUUGUGACAAACGUCACAACCCAAGUAUCUCCCACGCCAUGUGUGUCCAUGGCAAACUUGACACGUAGACAAUGACUCCUCCAUGGAAAACGAUGGAACUCGCAACUUUUCCGCUGUGCAGUGGCAGCACCGUCGCCUUUCUUCAGAACGGCUCUGCUUUCCUGUCUGUUUGUGCAACCGUGAAGAAACCGUGGAGAGAAGAACGAAAUGUUCAUGGAGAGGUGAUCCCUCAUGAGAGCUGCUGGUCCAGAGGUUGGAAGAUGUGAGCCAGUUUUUACUGGGAUCACAAUCAUCCUCAAUCACUAUUGUGCCAUCGAGCAACGCACAUGACUCCAACGCAGGACUGACUUUCUGCAAAAUGUCUACUGUAGUCAACAAUCCAUUAAAAUACAAACAGAGAAUGGGCUGGAUGGGCAUUUUGUUGAUGCACUAAUGGAUGCAUGUUGCUCACAUAUUUUCAGGGAGGUCUCGCCCUUUUGAAGCCCAAGUGUAUUUGUUGUAAUGAUGUAUUCAGACUAUGGCUGCUUGGUCCAAAUAGCUCUCCAGUAAAACUAGCAGAAGGUUUCUGGAGCAGCGGAUCAGGGUUAGAGGUAAAAGCCCACUGUUUUUUUUUUGUUCUUUCCUUUUUUUCUGUUCUUUUACCUCAUUUUGAUGUGAAGUCAACGCCGCUCAGCCAUAGAGAGCGUGAUCAGAGCGAGAUGACAUGUUCACCAGAAUAGGUUUCACAGGCACACCGGUUCUGCAGGUUGUGCUGAUUUGGUUGAAGCCACUGGUUCAGAUAUCUUACUAACAAUAAACAAUAUGACACACUGCUGAAUUUCACGCACAGUUGUUAUCGCAGUGAUGUUGAACAAAAGUUACACAACACAGGUAACGUACCUGUAAUGAGACAUGAUCUCUUACAGAACAAGGUCCCUAGCAAAGGACCUAUUAAGAUCUAGCAAGAAAUGAAGCCCAAUAGAUGCGACACAACAUCAAAGGACAUCAUAUCAUAUUGAGCACUCAUUGUUUUCUUGGUUAUGUGGCGAGGGGAUCGUUAGAAAGUGAUCUGUUUAGUUUAUAAAUUAUGUUCAUAGAAAUGUCAUGAAUGCAGAUGGAUUCCUGUGCAUUUGUCUGCCUAAAUGUAUUGUUUUCUAAUGAGCUACAAGGUAACUCCCCCUAAAUAAAGUAAUGUUGUGAAAAACA